GAUUAACGCUGGCGGCGUGCCUAACACAUGCAAGUCGAGCGGCAGCGAGUUUUACACUGAAUUCUGGAAGCUUCUAGUUGAAAGAGAAGAUUUAUUCAAGAAUUUUGUGUAAAAUGUCGGCGAGCGGCGGACGGCUGAGUAACGCGUGGGAACGUACCCCAAAGUGAGGGAUAACGCAUCGAAAGGUGUGCUAAUACCGCAUAUGGUCUUCGGAUUAAAGCCUUCGGGCGCUUUGGGAACGGCCUGCGUAAGAUUAGAUAGUUGGUGGGGUAAUGGCCUACCAAGUCGACGAUCUUUAACUGGUUUGAGAGGAUGAUCAGUCAGACUGGAACUGAGACACGGUCCAGACUCCUACGGGAGGCAGCAGUGAGGAAUCUUCCACAAUGGGCGAAAGCCUGAUGGAGCAACGCCGCGUGCAGGAUGAAGGCCUUCGGGUUGUAAACUGCUUUUAUAAGUGAGGAUUAUGACAGUAAUUUAUGAAUAAGGAUCGGCUAACUACGUG
Molecule: ribosomal RNA, 502 nt
Filed under: uncultured bacterium
Lineage: Bacteria
Description: partial 16S ribosomal RNA
Rfam family: Bacterial small subunit ribosomal RNA
Source: RNAcentral